GAUGCUUAAGAAGAGCUUGACAAUCUUAUUAAGUGAGAAGGAAUUUUGAUUUUUAAUAGAAAUGGAAUCAAUUUGACCAACUUCGAUCUCCAUUCUGCUCUCACAAAGGAUCAACAAAGUAGGGAGCUUUCUCAAUGUCAUGUAUCUAAGCUAGCCAAGAAACUGAGGGUGAAGGAAGAAGAGGUAAAAUUGAAGCCUGUUAUUGCAUUCGAUUGUGAUUAAACAUUUGGUGGCUACUGCAAUAUCUUUAGCAUCCCCUGUGGAGCAAAGCAAGGUAGCAACUAGUUCCUAGGUGAUUGGAGUGGUCUAGCAUCUUAAAGCUUUUUCAACAUAAGCUAUGGAGUCAAAUUCAAGGCAUUCUUGAUUAUUACCCAUGAUUAAGUUCAGAUUUUUCAUCAUCGAUAAGUAUAUGUAUGGCUCCUUUGGAAGAAUGGGCAUGGCAAUUUAUGGUACAAGGACAAUUACUUAAUGCCCUUGAUGAGAGAUUGAUGGCUAGAGGUGGGUUUGAUGAGGGGAAGAUUGAGUUGGAUGAGUUAGAAAGUGAGGACAUGGAUAUAUAUUUGCUCCAAAAAAUGAAAUCCAAGGAUAUGUGGUCUGAGUUUGAACAAAAUUAUGGCUCUUCAUUA
Molecule: long non-coding RNA, 626 nt
Organism: Quercus lobata
Lineage: Eukaryota; Viridiplantae; Streptophyta; Magnoliopsida; Fagales; Fagaceae
Exons: 5
Source: RefSeq, a predicted model, not a curated record